This 492-nucleotide ribosomal RNA is filed under the name uncultured bacterium. RNAcentral's name for it is "bacterial SSU rRNA". It matches the Rfam family "Bacterial small subunit ribosomal RNA", at positions 28 to 507 of the family's 1533-position model. The record is from RNAcentral.
GAUGAACGCUAGCUACAGGCUUAACACAUGCAAGUCGAGGGGAAACGAUAUUGGAAGCUUGCUUCCGAUAGGCGUCGACCGGCGCACGGGUGAGUAACGCGUAUCCAACCUGCCCACCACUUGGGGAUAACCUUGCGAAAGUAAGACUAAUACCCAAUGACGUCUCUAGAAGACAUCUGAAAGAGAUUAAAGAUUUAUCGGUGAUGGAUGGGGAUGCGUCUGAUUAGCUUGUUGGCGGGGUAACGGCCCACCAAGGCGACGAUCGUUAGGGGUUCUGAGAGGAAGGUCCCCCACACUGGAACUGAGACACGGUCCAGACUCCUACGGGAGGCAGCAGUGAGGAAUAUUGGUCAAUGGUCGGAAGACUGAACCAGCCAAGUAGCGUGAAGGAUGACUGCCCUACGGGUUGUAAACUUCUUUUGUUUGGGAAUAAAAGACGCUACGUGUAGCGUUCUGCAUGUACCUUACGAAUAAGCAUCGGCUAAUUCCGUG